CGUGAGUGAUGAAGGCUUUCGGGUCGUAAAGCUCUGUCAAGUGGGAAGAAAAUACGGUAUGCCAAUACCACACCGUACUGACGGUACCACUGAAGGAAGCACCGGCUAACUCCGUGCCAGCAGCCGCGGUAAUACGGGGGGUGCAAGCGUUAUUCGGAUUUAUUGGGCGUAAAGGGCGCGUAGGCGGUCCUUUAAGUCAGAUGUGAAAGCCCGGGGCUCAACCCCGGAAGUGCAUUUGAAACUAAAGGACUUGAGUAUGGGAGAGGGAAGUGGAAUUCCUGGUGUAGAGGUGAAAUUCGUAGAUAUCAGGAGGAACACCGGUGGCGAAGGCGACUUCCUGGACCAAUACUGACGCUGAGGCGCGAAGGCGUGGGGAGCAAACAGGAUUAGAUACCCUGGUAGUCCACGCAGUAAACGUUGAACACUAGGUGUAGCGGGUAUUGACCCCUGCUGUGCCGCAGUUAACGCAUUAA
Molecule: ribosomal RNA, 473 nt
Filed under: uncultured delta proteobacterium
Lineage: Bacteria; Deltaproteobacteria
Description: bacterial SSU rRNA
Rfam family: Bacterial small subunit ribosomal RNA
Source: RNAcentral